This 477-nucleotide ribosomal RNA is filed under the name uncultured anaerobic ammonium-oxidizing bacterium. Its description in RNAcentral is "bacterial SSU rRNA". It matches the Rfam family "Bacterial small subunit ribosomal RNA", at positions 365 to 832 of the family's 1533-position model. The record is from RNAcentral.
UUCGCAAUGCCCGAAAGGGUGACGAAGCGACGCCGCGUGCGGGAAGAAGGCCUUCGGGUUGUAAACCGCUGUCGGGAGUUAAGAAGUGCAAGGGUGUUAAUAGCAUCUUUGCUUGACUAAGGCUCCGGAGGAAGCCACGGCUAACUCUGUGCCAGCAGCCGCGGUAAUACAGAGGUGGCAAGCGUUGUUCGGAAUUAUUGGGCGUAAAGAGCACGUAGGUGGAUUUGUAAGUCAGACGUGAAAGCCUUCUGUUCAACGGAAGAAUUGCAUCUGAAACUACAAACCUUGAGUGUAGGAGGGGAGAAUGGAACUUCUGGUGGAGCGGUGAAAUGCGUAGAUAUCAGAAGGAACGCCGGCGGCGAAAGCGAUUCUCUGGCCUAUUACUGACACUGAGUGUGCGAAAGUUAGGGGAGCAAACGGGAUUAGAUACCCCGGUAGUCCUAACUGUAAACGAUGGGCACUAAGUAGAGGGGUUUU